This 175-nucleotide ribosomal RNA is filed under the name Rhizomucor pusillus. RNAcentral's name for it is "partial 18S ribosomal RNA". It matches the Rfam family "Eukaryotic small subunit ribosomal RNA", at positions 751 to 927 of the family's 1831-position model. Lineage: Eukaryota; Fungi; Mucoromycota; Mucoromycetes; Mucorales; Lichtheimiaceae. The record is from RNAcentral.
AUUACCAUGAGCAAAUCAGAGUGUUUAAAGCAGGCUUUAUGGCUUGAAUGAGUUAGCAUGGGAUAACGGAAUACGACUAUGGUCUAUUUCGUUGGUUUUAAAGACCAAAGUAAUGAUGAAUAGGAGUGGUCGAGGGUAUUUGUAUUUGGGCGCUAGAGGUGAAAUUCUUGGAUUG